This 41-nucleotide ribosomal RNA is filed under the name Paludinella (Cavernacmella) sp. HSEKE.1. RNAcentral describes it as "partial 18S ribosomal RNA". The record is from RNAcentral. Lineage: Eukaryota; Metazoa; Mollusca; Gastropoda; Littorinimorpha; Assimineidae.
GUGAGGAGAAGAGAGACCCCCCCAAAAAACAGGGUGGAUUG